GGGCCGCUGGCUCAAUUGGUAGAGCAACGGACUCUUAAUCCGUGGGUUGCUGGUUCAAGUCCAGCGCGGCCCA
Molecule: transfer RNA, 73 nt
Filed under: Candidatus Omnitrophota bacterium
Lineage: Bacteria; Pseudomonadati; Candidatus Omnitrophota
Description: Candidatus Omnitrophica bacterium tRNA-Lys
Rfam family: tRNA
About the family: Transfer RNA (tRNA) molecules are approximately 80 nucleotides in length. Their secondary structure includes four short double-helical elements and three loops (D, anti-codon, and T loops).
Source: RNAcentral